UUUAUCUGACUAGGUGCGGCGCGACUAGGACGUUACUUUUAUUUGAUUUACUCAAGUUAGCAUACAAGUUGAAGUUCAAGUUCAAGUUCAAAGUUCAGGUGUGGGAUUUAUUUCAGUACAUGCCCGUGGUUAAUUUUUGUCCAUUUUAAUAUUAUGUGUUUACCAUAUGUGAGUUGCAUUAAAUUAUAUCGCUAGGGGCCCGCUCAAUGGGUCCAGGACAUUAAAGUCCUUGGUAUGCCACAAUGCGAUUUCAUGUUAAAGUUAUGGUUGCAACCAGUCGCCAGGGGCCGGCUCAAUCGGUCCAGGACGGAAAGGUCCUUGGUAUGCCACAGUGCAACUUUCAGUUACGAAUGUAUUGAUCAUAUGUGAUUCUCAUUUUAUUAACGUGGACAAUGAUUGCAUGUUUCCCACACUGAGUGUACCCUGUAUGCUCAUCCCAUAUUUAACAUUUUCAGGUUUUAAAGACCGGAGGCGCGUGGAAGGUCGAAUGACGAGUCAAAUAUUUUGAAUUUAGUUUUACGUAAAAAUGUUAUGUUGAGUAUAAUAUUUUAAAUAAAAUGUUUCUUUUCUUAUUUUUCACAUUAAAUAUUUAUUUAUAUUCAUAGUUUUUCCGCGUGCGUUUUCAUUUAAAAUUAAAUUGGAUUUGGGUGUCACAGGGUGGUAUCAGAGCAGGUCUACUUUCCUGUAGACUCUGCAAAAUAUUUUACAUAAAAUUUUUAAAAGUCAUGUGUGAGAAAGUCAUUCGACCACUGCGCGCUCCGACUUCAAGGUAAAGAUAUUUCAAAUAUUUUUUCAAGGGGAUGAGUAUAAAUUAUUUACGUUGAAAGUAUGUUGAGUUUUGCUGCAAUGAUUGAAGUAUUAUCAGAAAGUUCAAGUUUAUUAUGCAAGUUAUUAUGAGAAAGUUCAGUAUUCAAGUUAUUAUGUUGAAGAUUAUUGCAGCUAUGAAUGGUUAAAUUUCGAGGACGAAAUUUUUUUAAGUGGGUAGGUUUGUCACAGCCCAAAACCAUUUACUUCCUUUGCAAAUUUUAUUUGAAAAUUAGUUAUAUUUUCGAGUUAUUAAUAUAUAUAUAUAUAUAUAUAUAUAUCUAUGAGUCGAGUUUGUGAAUUAUCUAGUCGCGCCCCUAGUUAGAUCAUUAAUUUUAGAUUACAGAUUUUUUUUACUUAGCAAUAAAUAUUUACAUAAUUGGGCUGAAUGAAUAUUUGCAUAUAUUUUUAUAUUAUUGGGCCUGAAUAAAACUAGUUGUAGUCUAUUUAUAUUGGGCUUCACUUACUUGUAUUGCUUUUGGAUAUACAUGUCUUUUUUUUAUCACUCAAAUUUUCAGCCACAUUUUCUGAUUUUGGACGUGUUCCAUUCCUCAGCCACAAUUAUAUUUUUUCACUUCAUCUAUCAGAUUACUUUUGAAAUCUUGUACCGCAAGUUCCAUUACGAUUCAUCCUACUUAAAACACCGCCUCACUUUUUUAUCAAAGUAGCUUCUUUCAUUUUCUGGAAAUAUUUCGAAAACACAGCUGCUCAUUUCCAGUGUUGUUCCUCUCGCCUCCAGUGGUAAAUUUUAAAUUUAUGUACAGAGAUUAUGCAAUUCUAUUCCAGCACAUCAAUGAUUUCUUCAUUGUUUUCAUAUCUGCCCAAAAACCAAAACUUUACAACAGAAUUCUGUUUUCAAAUCAAAACAUGUAUACAUCCAUUUUUCUGUAAUUUCCAUAAGGAAAUCAAAUAGAACACAGAUAUUAUUAAUUACACAGAAACGGAAAAAUAGGAGAAUAAAGUGGAGAUGGAGUUUGUGGCAUAGAACAGGGGGAAAUCGGGUGUAUGAUUGCUGGAAAACAGGAGAGGCGAAGGGGGAGCUGGCUAGUAGGCGUCGCCGGGCGCUGCCGCGCCACGGCGGCCGGCGAAGAUGGGCAGGGAGGUGGCGACGGCGGCUGGGCUGUGCUGCUGUCAACGCGGAGACGGCGAUGGUGGCAGCUGCCGUCGACCAGAAGAGGGCGAGAAGUGAGAGAUAAGGGAAGAGGGAGAGAGAGGCUGAAGGAAAGAGAGAGGAGGCAGGGCCGCCGGCUCCGGCGACGGCGCUGCCGUCCGGUGGUGGCGGUAGGAGGAGGGCCGAGGGGAGAGUAGGAGGGAGGGAGAAUGAGGAGCUGCUGCUGUGCGUAAGUUUUGUGUGUGUUGGGGUGUGAGUGAGUGAGUGAGUGUUAUAUUAAGGGUUGAUAGUAGGCCUUGGGCUUGGGCUUAGGUUAGUUUAAUUUUAAAUGGGCUCAGGUUUAUUAAAUGAUUGGGCUAUAAUUUGAUUAGCUAUUGCACUAAUUUAUUUUAUCAAAAUGCUUGCAUUUGCAUAUUAUUUUUCAAAAGAUGUCAUUAAUACAAUAUUUGGGCUAGAUUAUUAAUUUGAACUUAGUUUUACUUAAAUAUUGAGCCCAAAUCUUUUUAUAAGAAAAACUCUUAUAUAAUCUAUUAGACCAAUGUUUUCUUUAAAUGAUUUUAUGAUAAUAAAUUCUUAAGAUUUAAACUACUUAAUUAUUAUUUUUAAAGUUCAAUUAGGCCCUUAUGUAUUAUUAUUUGAAUUUAUCUGACUAGGUGCGGCGCGACUAGAACGUUACUUUUAUUUGAUUUACUCAAGUUAGCAUACAAGUUGAAGUUCAAGUUCAAGUUCAAAAUUCAGGUGUGGGAUUUAUUUCAGUACAUGCACGUGGUUAAUUCUUGUCCAUUUUAAUAUCAUGUGUUUACCAUAUGUGAGUUGCAUUAAAUUAUAUCGCUAGGGGCCCGCUCAAUGGGUCCAGGACUUCACAGUCCUUGGUAUGCCACAAUGCGAUUUCAUGUUAAAGUUAUGGUUGCAACCAGUCGCCAGGGGCCGGCUAAAUCGGUCCAGGACGGAAAGGUCCUUGGUAUGCCACCGUGCGACUUUCAGUUACGAAUGUAUUGAUCAUAUGUGAUUCUCAUUUUAUUAACGUGGACAAUGAUUGCAUGUUCCCACACUGAGUGUACCCUGUAUGCUCAUCCCAUAUUCAACAUUUUCAGGUUUUAAAGGUCGGAGGCGCGUGGAAGGUCGAAUGGCGAGUCAAAUAUUUUGAAUUUAGUUUUACUUAAAAAUGUUAUUUUGAGUAAAGUAUGUUUAAAGAAAAAUGUAUUUCUUUAUUUUCACAUUAAAUAUUUAUUUAUAGUCAUGAUUUUUCCGCGUGCGUUUUCAUUUAAAUUUAAAAUGGAUUUGGGUGUCACAAGGUGGUAUAAGAGCAGGUCUACUUUCCUGUAGACUCUGCAAAAUAAAAAUUUCAUAAAAUUCUUAAAAGUCACGUGUGACGAAGCUAUUCGACCGCUACGCGCUCCGACUUCAAGGUAAAAGUAUUUGAAAAGUUUUCAAGGGGAUGAGUAUAAAUUAUUUACGUUGAAAGUAUGUUGAAAUUUGCUGCAAUAAUUGAAGUUAUUAUGAGAAAUUUCAAGUUCAGUAUUCAAGUUAUUAUGUUGAAGAUUAUUGCAGCUAUGAAUUGUUAAAUUUCGAGGACGAAAUUUUUUUUAAGUGGGUAGGUUUGUCACAACCCAAAACCGUUUACUUCCUUUGCAAUUUUUUAUUUAGAAAAUAUUAUAGUUUCGAGUUAUAUAUAAUAUAUAUAUAUAUAUAUCAUGAGUCGAGUUUUGUGAUGAAUCUAGUCGCGCCCCUAGUUAGAUAUUAAUUUUAGAUUACAGAUUUUUACUUAGCAAUAAAUAUUUACAUAAUUGGGCUGAAUGAAUAUUUGCAUAUAUUUUUUAUAUUAUUGGGCCUAAAUAAAAACUAGUUGUAGUCUAUUUUUUUUAUUGGGCUUCACUUACUUGUAUUGCUUUUGGAUAUACAUGUCUUCUUUUUUUAUCAACUCAAAUUUUCAGCCACAUUUUCUGAUUUUGGACGUGUUCCAUUCCUCAGCCACAAUUAUAUUUUUCACUUCAUCUAUCAAUUACUUUUGAAAUCUUGUACCGCAAGUUCCAUUACGAUUCAUCCUACUUAAAACACCGCCUCACUUUUUUUAUCAAAGUAGCUUCUUUCAUUUUCUGGAAAUAUUUCGAAAACACAGCUGCUCAUUUCCAGUUGUUCCUCUCGCCUCCAGUGGUAAAUUUUAAAUUUAUGUGCAGAGAUUAUGCAAUUCUAUUCCAGCACAUCAAUGAUUUCUUCAUUGUUUUCAUAUCUGCCCAAAAACCAAAACUUUACAAUAGAAUUCUGUUUUCAAAUCAAAACAUGUAUACAUCCAUUUUUCUGUAAUUUCCAUAAGGAAAUCAAAUAGAACAAAGAUAUUAUUAAUUACACAGAAACGGGAAAAAUAGGAGAAGAAAUGGAGAUGGGAGUUUGUGGGAGUUUGUGGCAAAGAAUAGGGGAGGGACGGUGGAAUAGCGCCGCCGGCGCUUCGCGCCACGGCGGCUGGCGGGAGGAGACAGGGAGGUGGUGCGGUGGCUUCGGCCGCUGUUGUGCAGUUCCGGUCGGACAAAGGGAGGAGGCGGAUGGGCGGUGCUGGAUCUGGAAAAGGGGGGCGGCGGCUGGGCUGUGCUGCUGUCGACGCGGAGGCGGCGAUGGCGGUGCUGCUGCUAGCCGGGCGAGCGACAGGGGAGAAGCGUGGUUGUGGCGGUGGCUGGCGGAGGUGUCGCCGGAGAAUGGUGGACGUUGCUGUUGGGUACGGUGGGGGAAGAGUGAGAGGGAGAUUAGAGGUGAGGAAAGGAGAGAGGUCGAAGGGAAGGAGAGAGAAGGCGGAGCCGCCGGCCUCCGGGGACGGCGCUGCCGUCCGGGGGCGGCGGCAGGAGGUCGCAAAGAGCGAGAGAGAGUGAGCGGCAAAGAGGGAGAAGGGAAAUGGGAGCUGCGUGAGUUUUGUGAGCAAUUAGGGUGUGUGAGUUUAAAUUAGGGGAGUUGGAAGAGUGGGCUUGGGCUCUUUUUGAUUUUAAUUUAUUGGGCUGGGCUCCCUUUAUUUAAAAUGAUUGGACUUCAUAUUUUAAAUUUCAUUAUUGCAUUGGACCUGAUUUUAUUAAAUCCCAACUCAAAUUUUAAAGAAACAUGCAUUUUAUUAUUUUGAUUCAUUAGACCAAUUAUUUUUCAAAUGAUUUUAGGAUAAUAAAUUUUAGAUCUUAAAUUUUAAAUAUUUUUCAAAGUAUAAUUAGGCCCUUAUAUUUUAUUAUUUGAAUUUAUCUGACUAGGUGCGGCGCGACUAGGACAUGGAUUUUACUUUGAAUUAUCAGAAUUAGCUUUCAAGUUGAAGUUCAAAAUUCAGGUGUGGGAUUUAUUUCAGUACAUGCUGUGGUUAAUCUUGUCCAUUUUAAUAUUAUGUGUUUACCAUAUGUGAGUUGCAUUAAAUUAUAUCGCUAGGGGCCCGCUCAAUGGGUCCAGGACAUUAAAGUCCUUGGUAUGCCACAAUGCGAUUUCAUGUUAAAGUUAUGGUUGCAACCAGUCGCCAGGGGCCGGCUCAAUCGGUCCAGGACAUUAAAGUCCUUGGUAUGCCACCGUGCGACUUUCAGUCACGAAUGUAUUGAUCAUAUGUGAUUCUCAUUUUAUUAACGUGGACAAUGAUUGCAUGUUCCCACACUGAGUGUACCCUGUAUACUCAUCCCAUAUUCAACAUUUUCAGGGUUUUAAUAUCGGAGGCGCGUGGAAGGUCGAAUGGCGAAUCAAAUGUUUUGAAUUUAGUUUUACUUAAAAAUGUCAUGUUAGUAAAGUAUAAGAUAUUUAUUUCUCUAUUUUCUUGUUAAAUAUUUAUUUAUAGUAAUGAUUUUCCGCGUGCGUUUCAUGUAAAUUUUAAAAUGGAUUUGGGUGUCACAAUCAUCCUACAUCCAUUAGUAUCAAACAUCAUCAUCCUACAUCAAUAGAAUCAAAAAUCAUCAUCC
This 5823-nucleotide long non-coding RNA is filed under the name Salvia miltiorrhiza (redroot sage). RNAcentral's name for it is "long non-coding RNA (SMIL_LNC008072)". Lineage: Eukaryota; Viridiplantae; Streptophyta; Magnoliopsida; Lamiales; Lamiaceae. The record is from RNAcentral.